This 162-nucleotide ribosomal RNA is filed under the name uncultured bacterium. RNAcentral describes it as "partial 16S rRNA". It matches the Rfam family "Bacterial small subunit ribosomal RNA", at positions 355 to 511 of the family's 1533-position model. The record is from RNAcentral.
UAGGGAAUCUUCCACAAUGGACGCAAGUCUGAUGGAGCAACGCCGCGUGAGUGAAGAAGAUCUUCGGAUCGUAAAACUCUGUUGUUAGAGAAGAACACGAGUGAGAGUAACUGUUCAUUCGAUGACGGUAUCUAACCAGCAAGUCACGGCUAACUACGUCAG